GCCAGCCGCCGCGGUAAUACCGGCGGCUCGAGUGGUGGCCACUUUAUUGGGCUUAAAGCGUUCGUAGCUGGGUUAUUAAGUCCCUUGGGAAAUCCGACAGCUUAACUGUCGGGCGUCUAAGAGAUACUGGUAAUCUUGGAACCGGGAGAGGUGAGGGGGUACUUCGGGGGUAGGAGUGAAAUCCUGUAAUCCUCGAGGGACCACCUGUGGCGAAGGCGCCUCACCAGAACGGCUUCGACAGUGAGGGACGAAAGCUGGGGGAGCAAACCGGAUUAGAUACCCGGGUAGUCCCAGCCGUAAACGAUGUGCGUUAGGUGUAUCGGUGACCACGAGUCACCGAGGUGCCGAAGGGAAACCGUGAAACGUACCGCCUGGGAAGUACGGUCGCAAGGCUGAAACUUAAAGGAAUUGGCGGGGGAGCACCACAACAGGUGGAGCCUGCGGUUUUAAAUUGGACUCAACGCCGGAAAUCUCACCGGAUAAGACAGCAGAAUGAUUGCCGGGCUGAAGACUCUGCAUGACUAGCUGAGAAGAGGUGCAUGG
This 543-nucleotide ribosomal RNA is filed under the name uncultured archaeon. Its description in RNAcentral is "bacterial SSU rRNA". It matches the Rfam family "Archaeal small subunit ribosomal RNA", at positions 457 to 997 of the family's 1478-position model. The record is from RNAcentral.